AUGAGUUCUCCCUGAGACUAUAUGUCUCCUGAAGGAACGUUGGAGACGACGACGUUGAUAGGCCGGGUGUGUAAGCGCAGCGAUGCGUUUGGCUAACCGGUACUAAUGAACCGUGAGGCUUAACCUUACAACGCCAAAGAAGU
Molecule: ribosomal RNA, 143 nt
Filed under: Cronobacter sakazakii
Lineage: Bacteria; Pseudomonadati; Pseudomonadota; Gammaproteobacteria; Enterobacterales; Enterobacteriaceae
Description: partial 23S ribosomal RNA
Rfam family: Bacterial large subunit ribosomal RNA (bases 1-127)
Source: RNAcentral